This 301-nucleotide ribosomal RNA is filed under the name uncultured bacterium. RNAcentral's name for it is "partial 16S ribosomal RNA". It matches the Rfam family "Bacterial small subunit ribosomal RNA", at positions 509 to 809 of the family's 1533-position model. The record is from RNAcentral.
CAGCAGCCGCGGGAAUACGAAGGGUGCAAGCGUUAAUCGGAAUUACUGGGCGUAAAGCGUGCGUAGGCGGUGAGUUAAGUCUGCUGUGAAAUCCCCGGGCUCAACCUGGGAAUGGCAGUGGAUACUGGCUCGCUAGAGUGUGUCAGAGGAUGGUGGAAUUCCCGGUGUAGCGGUGAAAUGCGUAGAGAUCGGGAGGAACAUCAGUGGCGAAGGCGGCCAUCUGGGACAACACUGACGCUGAGGCACGAAAGCGUGGGGAGCAAACAGGAUUAGAUACCCGCGUAGUCCCUGUCUCUUAUAU